GAUCCAGUGGAGAACGUGGCA
This 21-nucleotide non-coding RNA is filed under the name Rattus norvegicus (Norway rat). Lineage: Eukaryota; Metazoa; Chordata; Mammalia; Rodentia; Muridae. The record is from RNAcentral.